UACGUAGGGGGCAAGCGUUGUCCGGAUUUAUUGGGCGUAAAGAGCGCGUAGGCGGUCAGGCAGGUCAGCUGUGAAAACUCGAGGCUCAACCUCGAGAUGUCGGCUGAAACCAUCUGGCUAGAGUCCGGAAGAGGAGAAUGGAAUUCCCGGUGUAGCGGUGAAAUGCGCAGAUAUCGGGAAGAACGCCCGUGGCGAAGGCGGUUCUCUGGGACGGUACUGACGCUGAGACGCGAAAGCGUGGGGAGCGAACAGG
This 253-nucleotide ribosomal RNA is filed under the name uncultured bacterium. RNAcentral's name for it is "partial 16S ribosomal RNA". It matches the Rfam family "Bacterial small subunit ribosomal RNA", at positions 524 to 776 of the family's 1533-position model. The record is from RNAcentral.